RNAcentral lists this long non-coding RNA (607 nucleotides) under Mus musculus (house mouse). RNAcentral describes it as "long non-coding RNA chr5:150375729-150376336". Lineage: Eukaryota; Metazoa; Chordata; Mammalia; Rodentia; Muridae. The record is from RNAcentral.
GGCCUGGAAUAUGUACUGUAUGCCCAUCGUCAUGAGACGUGACAUAUCUGUGACAUGAACUUCUAGGCCGUCAGUUUCUCACUCUUUUGCCCUGAUCUAAAAGAACAUGGAAUUGGAGGUCCUACUCAGUGCUAGAGGCAAGGAAGAACCCUGUGUGCUGACAGAUUGGAAAUGAAAGGAUAAAGCUGUUUUUAUCCAUGAGCAAAUAUGGUAGAAAACUGCAAAAAAAAAUCCGUGCUUGGUGGGACACACUUAUAAUCCUGCAGCAUUUGAGAGACGAGGCAGGAGAAUCAGGAGUCCAUGGUUAUCCUUGAUUAUAUAGGGAGUUCAAGGCCAACCUUGGCAACGUGAGACCCUGUAACAUAGAAAACAACAUUAGCACAAACAAAGAUAUCACUAUUUAAAAAAGGAAAAGGAAAAGGAAGGGAAAGAAAAAAGACCAAUUGAUUUGGAGCUGAUGCAUGACUUUAGGAAGUUUACAAGAUACGAAAUAAAUAAUAUAUUUCUAUAAUCCAAUAAUGAAUAAUCAAAUUAAACAAUUUACGGUAUUGAUGAAAAGCAAAAUACCUGUCAAUAAAACAAAAUAUGCACACUACUUUUUUAUUGC